AGGACGAACGCUGGCGGCGUGCUUAACACAUGCAAGUCGAACGAGGCCCUGCCUUCGGGCAGGUGACCUAGUGGCGAACGGGUGAGUAACACGUGGGCAACCUACCCUCAGCUCUGGGAUAACCCCGGGAAACCGGAGCUAAUACCGGAUAUGACCUUGCACGACAUCGUGCUUGGUGGAAAGUUUUUCGGCUGAGGAUGGGCCCGCGGCCUAUCAGCUUGUUGGUGGGGUAAUAGCCCACCAAGGCGACGACGGGUAGCCGGCCUGAGAGGGCGAUCGGCCACACUGGGACUGAGACACGGCCCAGACUCCUACGGGAGGCAGCAGUGGGGAAUAUUGCGCAAUGGGCGAAAGCCUGACGCAGCGACGCCGCGUGAGGGAUGAAGGCCUUCGGGUUGUAAACCUCUUUCAGCAGGGACGAAGCGAAAGUGACGGUACCUGCAGAAGAAGCACCGGCCAACUACGUGCCAGCAGCCGCGGUAA
This 483-nucleotide ribosomal RNA is filed under the name uncultured bacterium. Its description in RNAcentral is "SSU rRNA". It matches the Rfam family "Bacterial small subunit ribosomal RNA", at positions 26 to 523 of the family's 1533-position model. The record is from RNAcentral.